This 740-nucleotide ribosomal RNA is filed under the name Brevundimonas mediterranea. RNAcentral's name for it is "bacterial SSU rRNA". It matches the Rfam family "Bacterial small subunit ribosomal RNA", at positions 89 to 864 of the family's 1533-position model. The record is from RNAcentral. Lineage: Bacteria; Pseudomonadati; Pseudomonadota; Alphaproteobacteria; Caulobacterales; Caulobacteraceae.
GAGUUAGUGGCGGACGGGUGAAGUAACACGUGGGAACGUGCCUUUAGGUUCGGAAUAACUCAGGGAAACUUGUGCUAAUACCGAAUGUGCCCUUCGGGGGAAAGAUUUAUCGCCUUUAGAGCGGCCCGCGUCUGAUUAGCUAGUUGGUGAGGUAAAGGCUCACCAAGGCGACGAUCAGUAGCUGGUCUGAGAGGAUGAUCAGCCACAUUGGGACUGAGACACGGCCCAAACUCCUACGGGAGGCAGCAGUGGGGAAUCUUGCGCAAUGGGCGAAAGCCUGACGCAGCCAUGCCGCGUGAAUGAUGAAGGUCUUAGGAUUGUAAAAUUCUUUCAGUAGGGACGAUAAUGACGGUACCUACAGAAGAAGCCCCGGCUAACUUCGUGCCAGCAGCCGCGGUAAUACGAAGGGGGCUAGCGUUGCUCGGAAUUACUGGGCGUAAAGGGAGCGUAGGCGGACAUUUAAGUCAGGGGUGAAAUCCCGGGGCUCAACCUCGGAAUUGCCUUUGAUACUGGGUGUCUUGAGUGUGAGAGAGGUAUGUGGAACUCCGAGUGUAGAGGUGAAAUUCGUAGAUAUUCGGAAGAACACCAGUGGCGAAGGCGACAUACUGGCUCAUUACUGACGCUGAGGCUCGAAAGCGUGGGGAGCAAACAGGAUUAGAUACCCUGGUAGUCCACGCCGUAAACGAUGAUUGCUAGUUGUCGGGAUGCAUGCAUUUCGGUGACGCAGCUAACGCAUUAAG